CACACACUAUGGAUGAUGGAUUA
RNAcentral lists this non-coding RNA (23 nucleotides) under Arabidopsis thaliana (thale cress). The record is from RNAcentral. Lineage: Eukaryota; Viridiplantae; Streptophyta; Magnoliopsida; Brassicales; Brassicaceae.